UCUUAUAAUUAAUUAGGACUUGAUUAUAUUAAGUAUAGUAGUCUUUUAUUUACAUGUUUUUAAUUAAUAACAUACAUAUAUAGCAGCAAAUCAUCUCUAAAUAUACAUAGAAAGUGAAUCAUCGAGGUUAUGCAGUCACACAUAGGAAAAAUGUCUGGUUUGGUUUUUCUAUCUGUGUUAUUUCUUCUUCUCCAGCUUCCUCUGUCAUCGCUCUCAAACUCUGAAGGUAAAAUAUCUCUAUUCAUUAGUUCUUUUCGCAAUUUUCGUUGGAUAAUUAAAACAAACAUCACUUUCAGAUUAUGCUUUCGAGUAUACUUUUAUCUGCAGGUGACGCUCUCUAUGCUUUCAGAAAAGGUCUUUCUGAUCCCGACCACGUUUUGGGCA
Molecule: long non-coding RNA, 384 nt
Filed under: Vigna radiata
Lineage: Eukaryota; Viridiplantae; Streptophyta; Magnoliopsida; Fabales; Fabaceae
Description: long non-coding RNA (VRAD_LNC010795)
Source: RNAcentral